Molecule: ribosomal RNA, 169 nt
Filed under: uncultured bacterium
Lineage: Bacteria
Description: partial 16S rRNA
Rfam family: Bacterial small subunit ribosomal RNA
Source: RNAcentral
GUUGGUGGGGUAAUGGCUUACCAAGGGUUCGAUGGGUAGCUGGUUUGAGAGGAUGAUCAGCCAAACUGGGACUGAGAAACGGCCCAGAAUCCUACGGGAGGCAGCAGUGGGGAAUAUUGGACAAUGGGGGCAACCCUGAUCCAGCCAUGCCGCGUGUGUGAAGAAGGCU